Molecule: non-coding RNA, 92 nt
Organism: Acanthosepion pharaonis
Lineage: Eukaryota; Metazoa; Mollusca; Cephalopoda; Sepiida; Sepiidae
Source: the annotation of a GenBank genome assembly
GUUGAAACAUCGCUUCCUGUCCAAUCACCGAAGUUAAGCAGCAUCGAGCCUGGUCAGUAACCAGAUGAGUGACUACAUGGGAAUACCAGGUG